Molecule: long non-coding RNA, 7716 nt
Organism: Neofelis nebulosa (Clouded leopard)
Lineage: Eukaryota; Metazoa; Chordata; Mammalia; Carnivora; Felidae
Exons: 3
Source: RefSeq, a predicted model, not a curated record
UUACAGAAUCAUUAGGAGACCCUGCAUAAUCUUUAAUCAUCUGUGACACAUGGUGAGGCUCACUGUACUGUGUUUGCAAAAGCUGAAACAAAACCUACUGAGCAUUAAAACAGGGAUGUCAUGUUGUCAAGCCAUCAUCAGAAAGCUAAGUUAACUGGAAGAAACUUUUCUGAAGAUUGUAGUCAUUCUGGUUUUAUUAAACUUUAUUAAACUUAAGGUUUGAAAAACAGCCUUCCUGAAUGGAGCCUGAACAGCACAAGCUGUUCUUAUCAAGCAUUAAUGUUUUAAGUUUAUUUACAGAACCACUGCUGCCCACAUGAAGACCUGCACGUGAAUGGUGCUUGCAGUGUUACUCAUAAUAGCCCAAACCUGGAAACAAUCUGAAUGCCCACCAACUGAUGAAUAAACAAAAUCUAUAUCCAAAUGGCAGAAUACUGUUUAGCAAUAAAAAGGAACAAAUGUACAAAAAGCACAAAAUUACUGAAGCCCACAGGAUAUGCCGGUGGUGUGACAUAUUUUCUACUUUUUGUUAUGAAAAGUUUAAACAGAGAAGCUCAAAGACCGUACAUUGAUCACCUAUCAUCACUUACAUGUAACAUAACGUUUGUAAUAUUUGCUUCAUCUCUAUUUUUGCUAGGAAGCAGUUGAAAGCAGCUUGACGCUUCAUUGAAAUUACUUAAGCUUGCACUUUUAAAAACACUUUAUUGGCACCUGUGUGUCUCAGUCAGUUGAGCAUUGACUUCAGCUCAGGUCAUGAUCUUUCGGUUCACAACUUUGAGCCCCGCAUCGGGCUCUGUGUUAAUGGCUCAGAGCCUGGAGCCUGCUUUGCGGAUUCUUUGUCUCCCUCUCUGUCUGCCCUCCCCCACUCGUUCUGUCUCUCUCUCUCUCUCUCUCUCUCAGACAUUAAAAAAAUUAAAAAUAAAGCACUUUGUUCUGGAGGUGCCUGGGUGGCCUAGGGUUAAGCAUCUGACUUCAGGUCAUGAUCUCAUGGUUUGUGGGUUCAAGCCGCACAUCAGGCUCCGUGGUGACAGUGCAGGGCCUGCUUGGGAUUCCUUCUCUCUUUCUCUGUCUCUUUGCCCCUCCCCACCUCAAAAUGAAUUAACAAAACUUUUAAAGUUUGGGUAAACUUUAAAAAAAUAAUAUUUUGUAAGUAGCAUUUUUGCACUUGGGAAAGUCGACCAGAAUUUCCUGGUAUUUAAUACUCAGUUCAUAAUUCCAAUUUUUGGGGGGAAGAGUUCUGAGCCAAGGUCGGACCCAGUGUUGGUAUAAUUUAGUAUUCUAUGAAAGCAGUUAUGAUUAAGGGUUUAAACUGACACUUGUGAAAAAUAUACAUGUGAUUACUGCCAUUAAGUCGCCACAAGGAACCCUGACGAAUACUUCUAUGCAGCCCUGGAUGAAGAUCGACACUGGGUAGAUCUCAGGUCCCAAGUAGCACUUGCUAGUAAUGUGUCUGCAGUCUUCCUUCCGGUCAGCAGGAGGGUGCUUUGGGACUAGAGGCAGAGCCAGGUGAAUGGUGACAGUGAAGGCAGGUCUGUAAGCCACCAAACCUGGAGUAACAUUCAGAUUUCAGUCAUGUGUGACUCCUUUCCCCAUUGCAUGGCACUGAGUAGGUACUUAGUAAUGUUAAAUACACAUCCCCCAUUUUGAGAAAGGUUAGUGUGGAGCUGCAGGGAGAAGCAAGAAUGCACCCGAAGUAGUAAAAUAAGAGCAGCAGUUCCAUGAGAUAAGGUGGAAGUGCCGGACAAAUAGUCCAGAAGACACCUGGGAAUCUGGAAUGACAAGUCAAAGCUGUCCAACGAAACUUUGCAAGACUGGAAUAUUCCAUUCCCUGUCCACCACGGUAGUUACCAGCCACAAGUAGCAAUUGAGCACUUGAGGCUAGUGUGACUGAGGAGCCAAAUUUUAAAUUUUACUUAGUUUUAAUUUUAAGAAAACAGUCACCAGUGGCUAGUGGUUACUGUGUUGAACAGCACAGCUCUCGGCUCCCAACACCAAUGUCCUACAGGCCAUUGAAAUGAAGAUUUCAGCAAGAUUAACUCGACAAAAGCAGUAGUGAUAAUCGGGCCAUUAAUCAAAAUUUGGUCUCCAAAUUUCUGGGGUUUAAAGAUGUAUAUCAUUUUCUAUACACCCCUGAGGUUUUUUUUUUUUUUUUUUUUUUAAUAUUUGUUUUAGAGAGAGCAAGCGGGGGAGGGGCAAGGAAAGAGAGACACAGAGUCCGAAGCAGGCUCCAGGCUCUGAGCUGUCAGCACAGAGCCCAAUGCAGGGCUCGAACUCAUGAACUUCGAGAUCAUGACCUGAGCCAAAGUGGGACGCUCAACCAAGCUGCCCAGGUGCCCCUGAGUUUCUGUAUAAUAUAAGUUCUGUUUUUAAAAAUCUGCCUCUACUAGCGGGGCAUCUGGGUGGCUCGGUUGAGCUUCCAACUUCGGCUCAGGUUAUGAUCUCACAGUUCAUGAAUUCAUGCUGCGCUUGGGGCUCUCUGCUGUCAGCACAGAACCCUCUUCAGAUCCUCUGUCCCCCUCUUGCUCUGCCCCUCCCCCACUUGUGUUCUCUCAAUCUCUCUCUCUCUCUCAAAAAUAAACAUUUGGGUGCCUGGGUGGCUCAGUCAGUUAAGCGUCUGAUUCUUGAUUUCAGCUCAGGUCAUGAUCUCACAGUUGGUGAGUUUGAGCCCUGCAUUGGGCUCUGCACGAACAGUGCGGAGCCUGCUUGGGAUUCUCUCUCCACCUCUCCCUUUCUGCCCCUCCCCUGCUUGCUUGCUCUCUCUCUCAAAAUAGAUUAACUACUUUAAAGAAAUGUACAAAAGACAAAUCCCCCAUGUUAUCACUUAAUGAGCAACUUCCUUGCAUUAAGUGCUGUCCUGUAAUGAUAUAGGAGUAAGACAGGAUGCCAGCUCUCCAAGUCUGCAGCCUCAGUGAGACAUAAGGAGAUGUAUUUCCUGCUUGCCAUGCUUUUCUGUGUCAACCUGCCUGGUAUUGGAGUGAGUGUUACAGCCCUGCCUUUAUCUUCCUUGGAAAGUUGUACCUUCUAUAUAUUUUUUAGGUAGUCACCCUUAAAACUGAAUACUUCCAAUUGUCUUACUAAAGUCUUAGCUCUCCUAAGUAACACAAGGACAAUGGAAUGCUUCAGUUCUAAUCACAUUAUUAGCUCCUGAGUUCCAACCCCCUUCCCUUUCAGGCUAUUUUUGUCCAGGACUUCACCUUGACCCUGUUUUUACCAGGGAUGCACACAUCUACAUACAUACAUAUUAGUUGUUACUUUACAGUUGAUGCAUGGAUUUACAUUUUUAUCAGCUUAUUUGCUUAUUGUUCUCUGCCUCCCUUCCUCCUGGUUUGUUCUCUUUUUCACAAAGAUCCUUCUUUGAAUCAGUGUGAGGGUAAAUGCUCUCAGCCUGACUUUGGCCAAACAUGUCUUUUAAUGUCAUUCUGAAUAGUAGUUACAGGAGUCCAUAUUCUAUAGACAUUAACUUUCCGGGGAGCUUUUAUUUCUUUUAAUUAACUUAUUUUGAGAGAGAGAGAGUGAACGAGCGUGAGUGGGGGGGGGGGCAGAAAGAGGGAGAGAGAGAUCGCAAGCAGGCUCUGUGCUGUCAGCACAGAGCCCGAUGUGGGGCUCAAACUCAUGAACCAUGAGAUCAUGACCUGAACCGAAAUCAACAGUCCGACGCUUAACCAACUGAGCCACCCAGAGGCCCUCCAGGGUACUUUAAAGAUCAUGUUAGUCCACUGUUUUAUGACCUCUUUGUUGCUAAUAAGAAAUCUGACAGUCCUAAUGUUGGUAAAUAAUGUUUCUAGUUGCUUUUUUGAUUUUCUUGUUUGUUGUGUUUUACAACCUCACUACAAGAUAUCUGGGUAUGGAUUCAUUUUUAUUUAUCCUCUUAGGGGUUACUGUGCUUCUGUGAGUGGAUUCAUGUCUUUUAUGAUUUGGGACAAGUUCUUAGUUUUUGUCGCUUUAACUGCAGCUUCUUUUCCAUUCUCCCUUUUCUCUCCUUCUUGACUUUUAUUAGAUCUAGAUUUGGUUUUCUGAUUUUCUGUAUCUUGACUUCUCUUUCACAUUUCUCAUUUAUUUAUACCUUGAUGCUAUAUUUUGAAUGAUAUCUACAAAUCUAUUUUUUCAAUCACUAAUUCUCUCUAGCUAUGCCUAAUUUGCUCUUUAAUGUGUCCAUUGAGGUUUUUUAAACAACUUUAUUGAAAUAAACUUGUGUACCAUAAAGUUCACUCAUUCAAUAUGUACAGAUUAAAAAUCUUUAGUAUAUUUACAGUGUUGUACAACCAUCAAAACAAUCUUUAAGUUUAGAACAUUCCAUCACUCCACAUAGAAGCCUUGUAUCCAUUAAGUCACUUCCCAUCACUCUCCACCAUUCCCACACUCCUCAACGCUAACCCAAAUUGCUUAUUUCAAUAAUUACAGUUUUCUACUUCAUGAUUUUUAAUUUGGUGUCUUCCAAAUCAGCCUGUUUUUUUAAUAGUGUCUUAUUUUUGCAUCAUGGUUUCUAUCAUUUCUUUUGAAUAUAUUUUAAAUAUAUUUUUUUUCAGACUUUUUGGUUAUCUCAAGUUCUUGGUGUAUAUUCAUUUGUUUUGUAUUAAUUUGAUCUUUAAUUGUGGAAACGUGCCUGCACUGUAGGACUGUUUGUGUGCAUGUCUCCAGGCCUGUAGCAUCAAUGGCCUGGGCACAUUUCUGACAAUCAUUUCUCAGCUGAGACAUUCCUACACCAUAUGGGCAAUGUCAAUUUGAAUACAAAUCCACAUGUGGCACAUGUGCCAGGUUUUGAUUUCUCAGGGAGACUUUUUUAAACCCAGGGCCAGGAAGACCAGGACGCUUGUCACUAUCCAUGGAUAGUGGCCCACCUUUCACUGAGAGGACAGCCUUUCAAAUUCCUGGCUUGAUGCAGGGGGUCUCUGUGCUAAUUUCCCAGCUUUGAGAGCUAACCUGGAAAGUAAACUGAAGGAAGCUGCUAGCCAGUCAGGCCUGAUACCACCUCACUGACCCGAACCAAAGUUGCUGCAGCAUCAGUUUGAACUUGAAACUGGAAGCUCAAUUGUACAUUGUUCGUUCGUUCUUUCUUUCUCUCUCUCUCUCUCUCUCUCUCUCUCUCUCUCUCUUUAUCUCUUUCUUUCUUUCUUUCUUUCUUGGGUGGUCAUGGCAGGCAUGUUCAAUUAAAGUAUUUCUAGGAUUUUGUGUCUUUAGGAGUUUAGCAUGCUGUGAUGCUCAAGAUCACAUGCGUGUGAACAUGUACAAAGUGCGAUGACUUCACACCCUACCUGUCCUGCAGUUCAGCCACAAUGAACUUCUCAAGGGUCCAGGAACCAACCAGGUUGCCUGUCUUGAGCAUAGCAUGCUGCUCCCUCUGUUUAGAAUGUCCAUCCCCUUCCUCUCCACUUGACAGUUGAUUUCUAGCCUGGCAGGACUCCACUCAGCCUUUCUCUGAAGACUUUAAAACUCCUUGCAGACUCAGUUGCUUAUUUUUUCUACCUGCGUCUCAGCUACAUCCCACAUGGCUUUCAUUAGUUGGAAAGUGUGUGCUGAACACCUGUUAGCUCUCUCAGACACUGUCCCAGUAUCCAAGGAUACAGGGAUGAUAAGGCCAACAAGAUCUUUUCUUUCGGGAAGCUUGCAGUGUACUAAGAAGAGAUACUGAGUGAUUACCAGCAGUGAUAAAUGCAUGAAGAACACAGGUAACAAUGGAGUGACUUCUUGGGGGCCUACUUGAGGUUGGUCGGUCAGAGGCUCCUCCUAGGAGGACAGAAGUCUGGAGACAGAACCUGCAGGGCAGAAUGAAUACAAAGUGCAAUGAUCCUCAGGUGGGAAUGAGCUUAGAAGAAACAAAAAGAUAGUGGGCCUGAGGUCAGUGUGUAGCUAUGUGGGGAAGCGUUGUGUGAAGGGAACAGCUUUGGAGAGAGAACUGGCAGGGGAGAUGGGGAGUCAAGAGAGGAUCAGAGACGGAAGAUGCUUUGUGCAUGUUUAUCUGUUGAUAGGAAUGACCCAGGGGCUGACAAAUUUACUACCUGGGAUGGAAGGCAACUGCAAGAGCAAAGCCCACAUAGAGGAAAGAAGAAAUUGGGUCUAGUGCCUAAGUAGAGGAGAGGUACGAUAAGAACAGAGAUGGUUUAUCUGUUUUCAUAGGAAAGAACGUGGAGAAUGUGGACAUACAAAGCAUGCAUGUAGGCUAGUAGAUUUGGUCAUGUGAAGACAAGUGUCACUAAGUUCAUUAACUACAGAUAUUCCCCAAGGAACCAUAUGAUUGGAGGGGGUGGAGGGAGGUGGAGGUGGUUCACAGCAGGUAGUAUAGACAAAAGCCCACCAACAUAGAUCAAGUACCAUAAAAAUGUUCAUGCUCUGACCUAAUGAUUCUAUUUCUUGAAAUUGUAUAUCAAAUAUCUGGAAUACAGAAAAAGCUCUGUCAAGAGCUGAUUUUCUUUUAUUAUUAAAAAAACUCUGGGGUGGGGGGUGCCUUGGUGGCUCAGUCAGUUAAGCGUCCGACUUCAGCUCAGGUCAUGAUCUUGUGGUUCAUGGGUUUGAGCACUGUGACGGGCUCUGUCUGACAGCUCAGAGCCUGGAACCUGCUUCGGAUUCUGUGUCUCCCUCUCUGCCCCUCCCCCCACUGGUGCACGCUCUCUCUCUCUCUCGCUCUCAUAAAUAUAAAAAAAUUUUUAACGUUUAUUUUUGACAGAGACAGAUCAUGAGCAGAGGAGGGGUAGAGAAAGGGAGAUACAGAAUCUGAGGCAGGCUCCAGGCUGAGCUCUCAGCACAGAGCCCAAUGUGGGGCUCAAACCCAUGAACUGUGUGAGAUCAUGACCUGAGCCGAAGUCAGAUGCUUAACUGACUGAGCCACCCAGGUGCCCCUCUUUUCUUUUUUUAAAAAUAAUUUCCCUCUAGGCUCUGUGCCGACAGCUUAGAGCCUGGAGCCUUCUUUGGAUUCUGUGUCUCCUCUCUCUGCUCCUCCCCCGCUCGUGCUCUGUCUCUGUCUCAGAAAUAAACAUUAAAAAAAUUUUUUUAAAUAAAUAAAUAAAAUGAUUUCCCUCUAUCCUUCAGAGGUGUUUUUGGUGUCAUUGUUGUUUUAUGUUUUACUUGUUUUUUGAGAGAGAGUGUGAGCAAGGGAGGGGCAGAAAGAGAGGGGGACAGGGGAUCCAAAGCAGGCUCUGCGGUGACAGCAGUGAGUCCAAUGCAGGUCUCAUGAGAUCAUGACCUGAACCAAAGUCGGAUGCUCAACCAACUGAGCCACCCAGGCACCCCAACUGAUUCCUUAUUCCGAUAGAGAAAUGGUGUGGUAUGUUGUGAUCAGUUGUUAAUGAAAUAUUUCUCACCUACUAAACAGGUGAACUUUUUUCAGGAACUAAAUGGCUUACAACCCAAGUAUUUUGUAUUUUGUAUUUGAUGGACAUUUAAGGACAUUAUGCUAUGUGAAAUGUCAGAGGAAGACAAAUAUCCUAUAAUCUCAUAUGUGGAAUCUAAAAAACGCAAACUCAAAGAAACAGAUUGGUUUGUCAAAAGUUGGUGUGUGUGUGUGUGAAAUGAGUGAAGGUGGUCAAAAGGUACAGAUUUCCAGUUAUAAGAUAAAUAAGUCCUGGUGACAUAAUACCCAGCAUGGUGACUAUAGUUAAUAAUACUGUAUUGUAUGUUUGAAGGUUGCUAAGAGUGAAUCUUAAAAGUUGUCACCACUGGAAAAAAAAUUGUAACUAUGUGAGGGCAUGGAUGUUAAGUAAAUUUAUUGUGGUGAUCAUCUUA